This 610-nucleotide ribosomal RNA is filed under the name Golbachiella hilaris. RNAcentral describes it as "SSU rRNA". It matches the Rfam family "Eukaryotic small subunit ribosomal RNA", at positions 595 to 1182 of the family's 1831-position model. Lineage: Eukaryota; Metazoa; Arthropoda; Insecta; Hymenoptera; Ichneumonidae. The record is from RNAcentral.
AAUAGCGUAUAUUAAAGUUGUUGCGGUUAAAARGCUCGUAGUUGAAUCUGUGUGUCACGAUGCUGGUUCACCGCUCGCGGUGUUUAACUAGCAUGCCGUGAGACGUCCUACCGGUGGGCUUAGCUCGUCACGGGCGGUCCAACUAAUAUCCCAUCGCGGUGCUCUUCAUUGAGUGUCGAGGUGGGCCGGUACGUUUACUUUGAACAAAUUAGAGUGCUUAAAGCAGGCUAUUUUCGCCUGAAUACUGUGUGCAUGGAAUAAUGGAAUAGGACCUCGGUUCUAUUUUGUUGGUUUUCGGAACCCCGAGGUAAUGAUUAAUAGGGACAGAUGGGGGCAUUCGUAUUGCGACGUUAGAGGUGAAAUUCUUGGAUCGUCGCAAGACGGACAGAAGCGAAAGCAUUUGCCAAAAAUGUUUUCAUUAAUCAAGAACGAAAGUUAGAGGUUCGAAGGCGAUCAGAUACCGCCCUAGUUCUAACCAUAAACGAUGCCAGCUAGCGAUCCGCCGAAGUUCCUCCGAUGACUCGGCGGGCAGCUUCCGGGAAACCAAAGCUUUUGGGUUCCGGGGGAAGUAUGGUUGCAAAGCUGAAACUUAAAGGAAUUGUCUACCACA